Molecule: ribosomal RNA, 429 nt
Filed under: Chloroflexota bacterium
Lineage: Bacteria; Bacillati; Chloroflexota
Description: Chloroflexi bacterium partial 16S ribosomal RNA
Rfam family: Bacterial small subunit ribosomal RNA
Source: RNAcentral
UGGGGAAUAUUGCACAAUGGGCGCAAGCCUGAUGCAGCCAUGCCGCGUGUAUGAAGAAGGCCUUCGGGUUGUAAAGUACUUUCAGUCGGGAGGAAGGUGUCAAGGUUAAUAACCUUGGCAAUUGACGUUACCGACAGAAGAAGCACCGGCUAACUCCGUGCCAGCAGCCGCGGUAAUACGGAGGGUGCAAGCGUUAAUCGGAAUUACCGGGCGUAAAGCGCACGCAGGCGGUUGAUUGAGUCAGAUGUGAAAUCCCCGGGCUCAACCUGGGAACUGCAUCUGAUACUGGCAAGCUUGAGUCUCGUAGAGGGGGGUAGAAUUCCAGGUGUAGCGGUGAAAUGCGUAGAGAUCUGGAGGAAUACCGGUGGCGAAGGCGGCCCCCUGGACGAAGACUGACGCUCAGGUGCGAAAGCGUGGGGAGCAAACAGG